Molecule: ribosomal RNA, 600 nt
Filed under: uncultured bacterium
Lineage: Bacteria
Description: bacterial SSU rRNA
Rfam family: Bacterial small subunit ribosomal RNA
Source: RNAcentral
GUUAGCCUCGCACUUUCCAGGUCAGCGGCGGACGGGUGAGUAACGCGUGGGCAACCUACCCAUAAGAGGGGGAUAACACCGGGAAACUGGUGCUAAUACCGCAUAAGCUAACGGGACCGCAUGGUUCUGUUAGGAAAGGUGGCCUCUGCGAGAGCAAGCUACCGCUUAUGGAUGGGCCCGCGUCCGAUUAGCUAGUUGGUAGGGUAACGGCCUACCAAGGCGACGAUCGGUAGCCGGCCUGAGAGGGUGUACGGCCACACUGGGACUGAGACACGGCCCAGACUCCUACGGGAGGCAGCAGUGGGGAAUAUUGCGCAAUGGGGGAAACCCUGACGCAGCGACGCCGCGUGAGCGAAGAAGGCCUUUGGGUUGUAAAGCUCUGUUCUAAGGGACGAAGUCCCUAACUGCGAAUAGUGGUUAGGGGUGACGGUACCUUAGGAGAAAGCCCCGGCUAACUACGUGCCAGCAGCCGCGGUAAGACGUAGGGGGCGAGCGUUGUCCGGAAUUACUGGGCGUAAAGCGCGUGUAGGCGGGUAUCUAAGUCAGGUGUGAAAUACCGGGGCUCAACCCCGGGGCUGCACCUGAAACUGGGUAUCUUGA